This 1393-nucleotide long non-coding RNA is filed under the name Nicotiana tabacum (common tobacco). RNAcentral describes it as "long non-coding RNA (NTAB_LNC010031)". The record is from RNAcentral. Lineage: Eukaryota; Viridiplantae; Streptophyta; Magnoliopsida; Solanales; Solanaceae.
UUGACAACUUUUUAAUCCUGACAUCAAAAGCCUCAUAGAUACAUUAAUCAUGAAGAAUUUCUCAAGCAUAGCUGGCUUUAUAUUUCUGCUCUUCGUUGUUCUGGGUAAGUCGCAUAGUCUUCCAUUUUAUAUUUUUAAUGGAAAUCUUAUAAGUACCAUAAGAAUAGUAAAUUUUGUUCAUCCAUUACCAUUAUAGAACUAUGAUAAAACGAAAAUUUUAUGAUAUUAGAAUAGAGAAGUUCUAAAACCUGUUAAUUUCAAGGGAACAAGAUCACAUUUGUUACUGUGCUAUCCGAAACUGAGUAACUUUAUCAGCCGUUUGACUGUUGGUCUAAUCUUACUUUCACCGUUAGAAAUAAGUCUAAUUUUUACCCUUGAUUUGUAACGGAGCUCAAAUUAAAGGAUAAUUACGAAUCAUAAUCAUAAGUUGCGGAGUAAAUUUGCACAUCUUUUAUUGAGUCCCGCAUAUUUCAAGCUGGAGCUCCAUUGAUGACAAGUGAAAACAAAAAAUAAUUUGCUAAUCUCAAGUGAAUUAUUGAACUAAAAUUCUAAUCGAGGAAAACAUAGCUCAAUUUCGAAUAUUAUAGGAGAAAAUUUGGACAUUUUCUCUAAUUUAAAAGAUAGAUGAUGCUAUUGAUCUAUUCUUUUGUACAUAGAGGAGUGACACUGACUCAAUUUUGUGUUUAGCGGAAUCUUCUAGAAUCAUUUAGCAUAAAAAUCUCUUGAGUAUAAAGAAUUAUAGACAAAAAUUAAUAACCCGAUGUUCUUUUAUAUUAGUCAUUGAAGAAUAUUUCAACUUUUAAUGCUCACAAUGUUUUAUUUUAAUUGUUUUCCUUUUCUGUCCAAAUAAAUGUAGGCACUAAGACAAGAGGACAAAAAGUAUGCCUAGUUCCACAGGCAGUUACGAAACCUUGUGAUCCAACAGACUGCAACACCCAAUGCUCUCUACACUGGGUAGGAAUUCCAACACCUGGUAAUAUUAAAGGACCACUUCUUGGAGCAAAUUGCUUCAGUGACAGUUGUUUUUGCACUUUUUGUUGUUUGCUUGGCUGCAAUUAGGUCUCUCCUUUCUUGAAUUCUCAUAUACUAGCUAGCUAUUCCUAAUUAGUGGAAUUUAUGGAGAUAAUCCUUCUUUAUUACUCCAUUAUUUAAUUGUCUGGUCAACUUUACUUUUGAAGUAAAAAUUAAUUGAUGGAAAGUUUAAACAAAGAGAGAAUUUAAUUUUGUUUGGUGGAAAAUUCAUCUUGAUAGCUGAAAUUUAUGUACUAUGAUAAAGUUCUUAUCCACCUAUAUUUUUUAGCGCGAAAUAUCACAACCCAAAAUCCAAACGGUGAUCGGCAGCUUGCAGUUCUUUUUCGAGCAAACCAACCUUUAACCGCAACUAGAUCAUUCA